CGUAAUCCAUUGUGAGCCGAGCCGUUUCGAGUUCUGCUGAGCAUUUUUUUUCCAGCCCUGUGCUGCCCCCUUCCUCCCCCCAAGUAAACCUCGUUUCCACACGUCUUGCACCCCCGCCAUGCCGACCGUAAACGUGAAAUGGCAGAAGGAGGUCUUUCCAGGCAUAGAGAUUGACACUAGCCAGCCUCCGAUUGUUUUGAAGAGUCAGCUAUACACACUAACUGGUGUGCCACCUGAACGCCAAAAAAUUAUGGUGAAGGGUGGAUUAUUGAAGGAUGAUGCAGAUUGGUCUACUUUGGGAGUGAAAGAUGGCCAAAAGUUAAUGAUGAUAGGCACAGCUGAUGAGAUUGUUAAAGCUCCAGAGAAAGGUCCGCUGUUUGUUGAGGAUCUACCAGAAGAAGAGCAAGUGGUUGCACUGGGUCACAGUGCUGGUCUUUACAAUCUUGGGAAUACAUGCUAUAUGAAUUCCACAUUGCAAUGUUUGCAUUCAGUUCCAGAGCUGAAGUCAGCGCUGCUAAGCUAUUCAGAUACUGUAAAAGGUAAUGGCAUUGACCAAGCUUCUCAUAAUUUGACUCUUGCUACUCGUAACACCUUUGGUGAUCUUGAUCAAAGCGUUCGCCCUGUUACACCUUUACAAUUCUUACAGACACUGCGUAAAAAAUACCCGCAAUUUGCGCAGCAACAUAAUAAUGUCUACAUGCAACAGGAUGCAGAAGAAUGCUGGACACAGUUGGUGUAUACACUUUCUCAAACUCUUACCUCAGAUUCAAGUGAAUCUGCAGUUCUUCCAAUGAAGCAACUAUUUGGGAUAGAUCUCGUGAGCAGGGUUCACUGUGCAGAAAGUGGUGAGGAGAGCAUGGAGACAGAAUUAGUUUAUUCCCUUAAGUGUCAUAUAUCUCAAGAUGUGAACCAUCUUCAUGAGGGAAUUAAGCAUGGCUUGAAGACAGAACUUGAGAAAGCUUCACCUACACUGGGUCGAACUGCAGUUUAUACUAGAGAAUCAAGAAUAAAUGAGCUGCCUAGGUACUUGACUGUGCAGUUCGUUCGUUUCUUUUGGAAAAGGGAAUCAAACCAAAAGGCGAAGAUUUUACGAAAAGUUGAUUACCCACUGGAACUGGAUGUUUACGAAUUUUGCUCUGAUGAACUGAAAAAGAAACUCAAAGCUCCUCGGCAGAUGCUGAGAGAUGCAGAAAAUGCAAAGCUUGGAUUGUACAUGGGAAAGCUAGCAGCUCAAAAGAAAAUGAGGAGUCAUCAAGUAGCGCUGGGGAAUCGUCUAGUAUGGACAUUGACAAAGCUGAGUCUUCUCUACCAAAGAAACAAUUAACUGGCGUCUAUGAUUUGGUUGCUGUCUUGACACACAAGGGAAGAAGUGCAGACUCUGGCCACUAUGUUGGCUGGGUUAAGCAAGAUGAUGGAAAAUGGAUCGAGUUUGAUGAUGACAAUCCGAACAUUCGCAAGGAUGAAGACAUUUUGAAACUUUCUGGUGGAGGUGAUUGGCACAUGGCUUAUAUCUGCUUGUACAAAGCCCGCAUGGCAGAAUCAAAGAGUUAGGUCGAAUUGGUUCUACAUUUCUGUAUUGCGAAUGCAACACUAGUUUUUGUGCCCAUGAGCGAGCGUGGUAAUUAUUUUUCCAGUUCGUAAAGUGGUUACUGGUGAAUUUGCUUCAAUUAUGUUCGCCAUUAUUCACCCGGAUAUGUAUCUUUAGGAUUUCUAGUACAUUUUGUGUUGUCAAAAUAUAGGACAAAAAAUUCAGGGGAAAGCUUUUGCCUUCAGUGGAUCUGAUUUAUUUGGUUUCA
This is an RNA transcript of Zea mays, 1796 nucleotides long. It is a transcript of the gene named ubiquitin carboxyl-terminal hydrolase 6-like, with no coding region annotated. The record is from RefSeq and is a predicted model, not a curated record. NCBI's taxonomy places the organism in Eukaryota, Viridiplantae, Streptophyta, Magnoliopsida, Poales, Poaceae. The transcript has 18 exons.